This 1257-nucleotide ribosomal RNA is filed under the name Staphylococcus aureus. RNAcentral's name for it is "bacterial SSU rRNA". It matches the Rfam family "Bacterial small subunit ribosomal RNA", at positions 8 to 1246 of the family's 1533-position model. The record is from RNAcentral. RNAcentral also lists the same sequence under 1 other name. Lineage: Bacteria; Bacillati; Bacillota; Bacilli; Caryophanales; Staphylococcaceae.
AGAGUUUGAUCCUGGCUCAGGAUGAACGCUGGCGGCGUGCCUAAUACAUGCAAGUCGAGCGAACGGACGAGAAGCUUGCUUCUCUGAUGUUAGCGGCGGACGGGUGAGUAACACGUGGAUAACCUACCUAUAAGACUGGGAUAACUUCGGGAAACCGGAGCUAAUACCGGAUAAUAUUUUGAACCGCAUGGUUCAAAAGUGAAAGACGGUCUUGCUGUCACUUAUAGAUGGAUCCGCGCUGCAUUAGCUAGUUGGUAAGGUAACGGCUUACCAAGGCAACGAUGCAUAGCCGACCUGAGAGGGUGAUCGGCCACACUGGAACUGAGACACGGUCCAGACUCCUACGGGAGGCAGCAGUAGGGAAUCUUCCGCAAUGGGCGAAAGCCUGACGGAGCAACGCCGCGUGAGUGAUGAAGGUCUUCGGAUCGUAAAACUCUGUUAUUAGGGAAGAACAUAUGUGUAAGUAACUGUGCACAUCUUGACGGUACCUAAUCAGAAAGCCACGGCUAACUACGUGCCAGCAGCCGCGGUAAUACGUAGGUGGCAAGCGUUAUCCGGAAUUAUUGGGCGUAAAGCGCGCGUAGGCGGUUUUUUAAGUCUGAUGUGAAAGCCCACGGCUCAACCGUGGAGGGUCAUUGGAAACUGGAAAACUUGAGUGCAGAAGAGGAAAGUGGAAUUCCAUGUGUAGCGGUGAAAUGCGCAGAGAUAUGGAGGAACACCAGUGGCGAAGGCGACUUUCUGGUCUGUAACUGACGCUGAUGUGCGAAAGCGUGGGGAUCAAACAGGAUUAGAUACCCUGGUAGUCCACGCCGUAAACGAUGAGUGCUAAGUGUUAGGGGGUUUCCGCCCCUUAGUGCUGCAGCUAACGCAUUAAGCACUCCGCCUGGGGAGUACGACCGCAAGGUUGAAACUCAAAGGAAUUGACGGGGACCCGCACAAGCGGUGGAGCAUGUGGUUUAAUUCGAAGCAACGCGAAGAACCUUACCAAAUCUUGACAUCCUUUGACAACUCUAGAGAUAGAGCCUUCCCCUUCGGGGGACAAAGUGACAGGUGGUGCAUGGUUGUCGUCAGCUCGUGUCGUGAGAUGUUGGGUUAAGUCCCGCAACGAGCGCAACCCUUAAGCUUAGUUGCCAUCAUUAAGUUGGGCACUCUAAGUUGACUGCCGGUGACAAACCGGAGGAAGGUGGGGAUGACGUCAAAUCAUCAUGCCCCUUAUGAUUUGGGCUACACACGUGCUACAAUGGACAAUACAAAGGG